GGAGGCGUGGUGUAGUGGUUAACACACCGGCCUGUCACGCCGGAGAUCGCGGGUUCGAUCCCCGUCGCCUCCGCCA
This 76-nucleotide transfer RNA is filed under the name Thermaerobacter nagasakiensis. Its description in RNAcentral is "tRNA-Asp". It matches the Rfam family "tRNA". Rfam says of the family: Transfer RNA (tRNA) molecules are approximately 80 nucleotides in length. Their secondary structure includes four short double-helical elements and three loops (D, anti-codon, and T loops). RNAcentral also lists the same sequence under 6 other names. The record is from RNAcentral. Lineage: Bacteria; Bacillati; Bacillota; Clostridia; Eubacteriales; Clostridiales Family XVII. Incertae Sedis.